GACGAACGCUGGCGGCGUGCCUAACACAUGCAAGUCGAACGGAAAGGCCCUGCUUUUGUGGGGUGCUCGAGUGGCGAACGGGUGAGUAACACGUGAGUAACCUGCCCUUGACUUUGGGAUAACUUCAGGAAACUGGGGCUAAUACCGGAUAGGAGCUCCUGCUGCAUGGUGGGGGUUGGAAAGUUUCGGCGGUUGGGGAUGGACUCGCGGCUUAUCAGCUUGUUGGUGGGGUAGUGGCUUACCAAGGCUUUGACGGGUAGCCGGCCUGAGAGGGUGACCGGCCACAUUGGGACUAAGAUACGGCCCAGACUCCUACGGGAGGCAGCAGUGGGGAAUAUUGCACAAUGGGCGGAAGCCUGAUGCAGCAACGCCGCGUGCGGGAUGACGGCCUUCGGGUUGUAAACCGCUUUCGCCUGUGACGAAGCGUGAGUGACGGUAAUGGGUAAAGAAGCACCGGCUAACUACGUG
RNAcentral lists this ribosomal RNA (468 nucleotides) under uncultured bacterium. Its description in RNAcentral is "partial 16S ribosomal RNA". It matches the Rfam family "Bacterial small subunit ribosomal RNA", at positions 28 to 507 of the family's 1533-position model. The record is from RNAcentral.